RNAcentral lists this ribosomal RNA (1198 nucleotides) under Pseudomonas putida. Its description in RNAcentral is "bacterial SSU rRNA". It matches the Rfam family "Bacterial small subunit ribosomal RNA", at positions 30 to 1213 of the family's 1533-position model. Lineage: Bacteria; Pseudomonadati; Pseudomonadota; Gammaproteobacteria; Pseudomonadales; Pseudomonadaceae. The record is from RNAcentral.
CCAACGGCUGAACCGACGGCCUACACAUGCAGUCGAGCGGAUGACGGGAAGCUUGCUCCUUGAUUCAGCGGCGGACGGGUGAGUAAUGCCUAGGAAUCUGCCUGGUAGUGGGGGACAACGUUUCGAAAGGAACGCUAAUACCGCAUACGUCCUACGGGAGAAAGCAGGGGACCUUCGGGCCUUGCGCUAUCAGAUGAGCCUAGGUCGGAUUAGCUAGUUGGUGGGGUAAUGGCUCACCAAGGCGACGAUCCGUAACUGGUCUGAGAGGAUGAUCAGUCACACUGGAACUGAGACACGGUCCAGACUCCUACGGGAGGCAGCAGUGGGGAAUAUUGGACAAUGGGCGAAAGCCUGAUCCAGCCAUGCCGCGUGUGUGAAGAAGGUCUUCGGAUUGUAAAGCACUUUAAGUUGGGAGGAAGGGCAGUAAGUUAAUACCUUGCUGUUUUGACGUUACCGACAGAAUAAGCACCGGCUAACUCUGUGCCAGCAGCCGCGGUAAUACAGAGGGUGCAAGCGUUAAUCGGAAUUACUGGGCGUAAAGCGCGCGUAGGUGGUUUGUUAAGUUGGAUGUGAAAGCCCCGGGCUCAACCUGGGAACUGCAUCCAAAACUGGCAAGCUAGAGUACGGUAGAGGGUGGUGGAAUUUCCUGUGUAGCGGUGAAAUGCGUAGAUAUAGGAAGGAACACCAGUGGCGAAGGCGACCACCUGGACUGAUACUGACACUGAGGUGCGAAAGCGUGGGGAGCAAACAGGAUUAGAUACCCUGGUAGUCCACGCCGUAAACGAUGUCAACUAGCCGUUGGAAUCCUUGAGAUUUUAGUGGCGCAGCUAACGCAUUAAGUUGACCGCCUGGGGAGUACGGCCGCAAGGUUAAAACUCAAAUGAAUUGACGGGGGCUCGCACAAGCGGGUGGAGCAUGUGGUUUAAUUCGAAGCAACGCGAAGAACCUUACAGGCCUUUGACAUGCAGAGAACUUUUCCAGAGAUGGAUUGGUUGCCUUCGGGAACUCUGACACAGGUGCUGCAUGGCCUGUCGUCAGCUCGUGUCGUGAGAUGUUGGGUUAAGUCCCCGUAAACGAAGCGCCACCCUUGGUCCUUAGUACCAGCACGUUAAGGGUGGCGCACUCUAAGGAAGCCGCCGGGACACAACGAAGGUAAGGGGGGGACGUACGUCUAGUAUCUGGUCUCUCAGCGUCCUAG